UUCCGGUUGAUCCUGCCGGAGGCUACCGCUAUUGGAGUCCGAUUAAGACAUGCGAGUCGAGAGCUUUCGGAGCUCGGCAUACUGCUCAGUAACACGUGGGUAACCUGCCCUGUGCUGGGGGAUAACCUCGGGAAACUGAGAACAAUACCCCAUAGUCCACUACGCCUGGAACGGUGAGUGGAUGAAAGCCCCGGCGGCACAGGAUGGGCCUGCGGCGUAUCAGGUAGUAGGGGGUGUAAAGUACCCUCUAGCCUUCGACGCGUACGGGUUGUGAGAGCAAUAGCCCGGAGAUGGAUUCUGAGACAAGAAUCCAGGUCCUACGGGACGCAGCAGUCGCGAAACCUUGACAAUGCGGGAAACCGUGAUCAGGGGACUCCAAGUGCCAGGAGUAAGAUCCUGUGCUUUUCUUUUCUCUUCAAAGGAUUUGGAAUAAGAGGUGGGUAAGGACGGUGCCAGCCGCCGCGGUAAUACCGGCGCCUCGAGUGGUAGUCGAUUUUAUUGGGCCUAAAACGUCCGUCGCCGGUCUGGUGCAUUCGUGGGUAAAUCAACCCGCUCAACGGGUUGAAUUCUGCGAGCACGGCCAGACUAGGGACCGGGAGAGGUGUGGGGUACGCUCGGGGUAGGGGUAAAAUCCUGUCAUCCCGAGCGGACCACCUGUUGCGAAGGCUCCACACUAGAACGGAUCCGACGGUCAGGGACGAAGCCUAGGGGCACGAACCGGAUUAGAUACCCGGGUAGUCCUAGGUGUAAACGCUGUGGACUUGGUGUCGGGAGCUCCCAGAGGGCUCUCAGUGCCGUAGCGAAGGUGAUAAGUCCACUGCCUGGGGAGUACGGUCGCAAGGCUGAAACUUAAAGGAAUUGGCGGGGGAACACCGCAACCUGAGGAUUGUGCGGUUUAAUUGGAGUCAACGCCUGGA
RNAcentral lists this ribosomal RNA (917 nucleotides) under uncultured archaeon. Its description in RNAcentral is "bacterial SSU rRNA". It matches the Rfam family "Archaeal small subunit ribosomal RNA", at positions 1 to 923 of the family's 1478-position model. The record is from RNAcentral.